Molecule: ribosomal RNA, 429 nt
Filed under: Actinomycetes bacterium
Lineage: Bacteria; Bacillati; Actinomycetota; Actinomycetes
Description: Actinobacteria bacterium partial 16S ribosomal RNA
Rfam family: Bacterial small subunit ribosomal RNA
Source: RNAcentral
UAGGGAAUCUUCCGCAAUGGGCGAAAGCCUGCCGGAGCAACGCCGCGUGAGUGAUGAAGGUCUUCGGAUCGUAAAACUCUGUUAUUAGGGAAGAACAAAUGUGUAAGUAACUAUGCACGUCUUGACGGUACCUAAUCAGAAAGCCACGGCUAACUACGUGCCAGCAGCCGCGGUAAUACGUAGGUGGCAAGCGUUAUCCGGAAUUAUUGUGCGUAAAGCGCGCGUAGGCGGUUUUUUAAGUCUUGUGUGAAAUCCCACGGCUCAACCGUGGAGGGUCAUUGCAAACUGGAAAACUUGAGUGCAGAAGAGGAAAGUGGAAUUCCAUGUGUAGCGGUGAAAUGCGCAGAGAUAUGGAGGAACACCAGUGGCGAAGGCGACUUUCUGGUCUGUAACUGACGCUGAUGUGCGAAAGCGUGGGGAUCAAACAGG